GAAUGUGAAUGUGAUCUAGCUGUGGUAUCGGUUUCAUCACUGAUCUCCAGGAAUGAUUCGCUCAUCUGGCAUCCGUGAGUAGUAACUCCAUCCUCACUACUCCACACACUUCUCUCCCGCUGUGUGCUUUGCUCCGAAGAAGACAGGAUGGUUCUGAGAUGAGGGGACGAGUAGGGCACUGAUCUCACUCUAGGAAAACAUCACAUUCCAUUAUCCUGGACACAAAUCAUAAUACUUGGUGACAUG
This is an unclassified non-coding RNA of Pan paniscus (pygmy chimpanzee), 246 nucleotides long. Its record names the gene 7SK. It matches the Rfam family "7SK RNA". Rfam says of the family: 7SK was discovered as an abundant small nuclear RNA in the mid-70s but a possible function has only recently been suggested. The record is from Ensembl. NCBI's taxonomy places the organism in Eukaryota, Metazoa, Chordata, Mammalia, Primates, Hominidae.